This 478-nucleotide ribosomal RNA is filed under the name uncultured bacterium. RNAcentral's name for it is "partial 16S ribosomal RNA". It matches the Rfam family "Bacterial small subunit ribosomal RNA", at positions 28 to 507 of the family's 1533-position model. The record is from RNAcentral.
GAUGAACGCUGGCGGCGUGCUUAACACAUGCAAGUCGAACGAGAAGUGGAGACGGAAACCUUCGGGCGGAAGACUUUAUUUCGAGUGGCGGACGGGUGAGUAACGCGUGGGUAACCUGCCUCAUACAGGGGGAUAACAGUUGGAAACGACUGUUAAUACCGCAUAAGACCACAGCACCGCAUGGUGCGGGGGUAAAAACUCCGGUGGUAUGAGAUGGACCCGCGUUCGAUUAGCCAGUUGGCGGGGUAACGGCCCACCAAAGCGACGAUCGAUAGCCGAUCUGAGAGGAUGACCGGCCACAUUGGGACUGAGACACGGCCCAAACUCCUACUGGAGGCAGCAGUGGGGAAUAUUGCACAAUGGGGGAAACCCUGAUGCAGCGACGCCGCGUGAGUGAAGAAGUAUUUCGGUAUGUAAAGCUCUAUCAGCAGGGAAGAAAAUGACGGUACCUGAGUAAGAAGCCCCGGCUAACUACGUG